GGGGCAGCCUACAAUGCAGUCGAACGGAGACGGAGCUGGAAGGGACAGUUUACUGUAACGGAAAGAUCUGUCUUAGUGGCGGACGGGUGAGUAACGCGUGGGCAACCUGCCCUGUACCGGGGGAUAACACUUAGAAAUAGGUGCUAAUACCGCAUAACGGGGGAAGCCGCAUGGCUUUUCCCUGAAAACUCCGGUGGUACAGGAUGGGCCCGCGUCUGAUUAGCCAGUUGGCAGGGUAACGGCCUACCAAGGCGACGAUCAGUAGCCGGCCUGAGAGGGCGGACGGCCACACUGGGACUGAGACACGGCCCAGACUCCUACGGGAGGCAGCAGUGGGGGAUAUUGCACAAUGGGGGGAACCCUGAUGCAGCGACGCCGCGUGGGUGAAGAAGCGCCUCGGCGCGUAAAGCCCUGUCAGCAGGGAAGAAAAUGACGGUACCUGAAGAAGAAGCCCCGGCUAACUACGUGCCAGCAGCCGCGGUAAUACGUAGGGGGCAAGCGUUAUCCGGAUUUACUGGGUGUAAAGGGGGCGCAGACGGCGAUGCAAGCCAGGAGUGAAAGCCCGGGGCCCAACCCCGGGACUGCUCUUGGAACUGCGUGGCUGGAGUGCAGGAGGGGCAGGCGGAAUUCCUGGUGUAGCGGUGAAAUGCGUAGAUAUCAGGAGGAACACCGGUGGCGAAGGCGGCCUGCUGGACCGCAACUGACGUUGAGGCCCGAAAGCGUGGGGAGCAAACAGGAUUAGAUACCCUG
Molecule: ribosomal RNA, 750 nt
Filed under: uncultured bacterium
Lineage: Bacteria
Description: bacterial SSU rRNA
Rfam family: Bacterial small subunit ribosomal RNA
Source: RNAcentral